CCUACGGGGGGCAGCAGUGAGGAAUAUUGGUCAAUGGACGAGAGUCUGAACCAGCCAAGUAGCGUGAAGGAUGACUGCCCUAUGGGUUGUAAACUUCUUUUAUAAAGGAAUAAAACGAGGCACGUGUGCCUUUAUGCAUGUACUUUAUGAAUAAGGAUCGGCUAACUCCGUGCUAGCAGCCGCGGUAAUACGGAGGAUCCGAGCGUUAUCCGGAUUUAUUGGGUUUAAAGGGAGCGGAGAUGGGUUGUUAAGUCAGUUGUGAAAGUUUGCGGCUCAACCGUAAAAUUGCAAUUGAUACUGGCAGUCUUGAGUACAGUUGAGGUAGGCGGAAUUCGUGGUGUAGCGGUGAAAUGCUUAGAUAUCACGAAGAACCCCGAUUGCGAAGGCAGCUUACUAAACUGUGACUGACAUUGAUGCUCGAAAGUGUGGGAAUCAAACAGGAUUAGAUACCCGUGUAGUC
RNAcentral lists this ribosomal RNA (460 nucleotides) under uncultured bacterium. Its description in RNAcentral is "partial 16S ribosomal RNA". It matches the Rfam family "Bacterial small subunit ribosomal RNA", at positions 338 to 795 of the family's 1533-position model. The record is from RNAcentral.